This is a long non-coding RNA of Musa acuminata subsp. malaccensis (wild Malaysian banana), 337 nucleotides long. RefSeq lists it as uncharacterized. Lineage: Eukaryota; Viridiplantae; Streptophyta; Magnoliopsida; Zingiberales; Musaceae. The record is from RefSeq and is a predicted model, not a curated record.
UGUUGACCGACGUGUCAACUUGAAUCUCUCUUCACCGGCGUUUCGAGGUCGGAGCGAUGGCGAAUCAGGGGGCGAAGAAGAGAAAGGAGGAGAACAGGAGGCACAUGGCUAACCUCCUCCGCCUCAUCAUCGCCUCCAAUAUUCGGUUGGCAAUAACCGGACGAUUUCGAAUGCCUCUGCUGUAGCUGUGCAUCUUCGGAAAGCGAUCGCCCACGAUCAGCGAGCGUCUCAACCCGGGAAUCGCCAUCUAGUAUGCGAGGACGCGUUAUAGUGUUUAGUUCAGGUUUAAGAAUUGUGUUACUGCCUCUAUGAUUAAGGAGAAUAAUACUUCUUAGCA